CUCAUACGCCAUUAUGAUAGACACCGCAUAGUGAACGAUGCUUUUAUUUUUUAGUGUGUUGGUGUAAAUAUCAUUGUAAAUCUUAACUCCAGCCUAUUCUGAUGUUUGUCAAUUGCUGCACAAAGUACUCGGAUUUGAAAAAUAGUUAAGAACCAAUUUAUGUUGACUAACCUGAUGAACAUGUCUGGAUGGUUGUGGCUGGUAGUGGUCCAAUAUGGUGGCUUAGGUGAAAUGACAUGCCUCUUAACAUAUUAUUUCCAAGGCAGUUAUGUAGUUCACUUUCAAGUAUUUAUUGAAUGUUAACUGUCUUGUUGAAUCUGAGGUGUGAGUAUCGCUCUACUUCGUCUUUGCUGUUACCUGAGUUUAAUUUGUUUUUGCAUUGUUCAUCCUUGGAAGCCAUGUGGUACUGUGUUGCUAAGAUUUUGCUUUGCUUUUGUGGUUGAGAAUUGUCUGCUAAUGGUGUGGUGAUAGUAGUUUUAGGUUUGCUUUUCCAUUAAGCAUUGUCUAUCCCUACUUCUAAUUUUAGUUGGAAAGUGUUUUGACCAUCUUCAGUGAAGGUUUUGCCAACCAACCAUGUUCUUUGUUGGCUUGGUUUUUGCAGGUCACUUUGCUUAAAGUUCGACAUGUUGACAGUUUAACAUGUUGAGAGGUUUUGUCGGGGGGUGACGAAAGUGAAUGAUAAGAGUUAACCUUGCAAUUGCCAGUGGGUGAUUUUUAAGUUACAUUUAUUAACUUGUUUGAUCCUUGUUAGCCGUUGAGCGAUUCUUGUCCAUUCAGGUGGUUGUUGCGUGAGUUGGAGUAAUGUGGAUAUAUCAAGCAUUUUACCGAACCCGCUCAGGCAACCGCCGUACGUUCGCAGAAUACGAGGAUUGGAGUUGCACAACAUCCAGGUUGUUUCCUUGCCGAAGAUAACCAAGUCUGCCGGAGUUUUAGUCAUUACAGUUCUAUUGCGGAAAGCAGUUUUUGCAAGGGGCUGCUAAAGGGUCGGUUGUAAUCAGUGUUAUUUCUCCACUCAACUUGCUCAUCUUAAGGUAUAACUGGAAGGAUGAAUGGACAAGUGGAAGCAUUGGUGUUUGCUUCCCAACGACUCGCCAUUGGGGUGUUGACGUUGGUUAGUGUGGUAUCGGAGGUGGGCCGUUUGACAGGUUAAAUUUGUAGCUUCAAGUUAUUGACUGUUUUCUUUAUCUUCAUUAGCCAGAUGAACUCUAUGACAUGUAUGUAUUUUAUUAAUAAUUUUUCUAGUUUAGUUUAUAAAUGGUUAUGUUAUAGUGAAAUUUUACUUCGCUUGACUAUUUGAGACUCUGCUAGUGUUGUGAUAAUUAGUUGGCAGAAUUUUGAGUUGAGGUUUUCUUGUAUAUUUCAUUAAUUCCAAAAAUGAGUUUUCUCCAUCUUUAUAAAGAUUAUAGAGAUUAUAAAGAAUCCAUCUUUAUAAAGAUGGAGAAAACUCAUUUUUGUUGGUUUGUUCGUUGGUCUACUAGUUUACAAAAUUUUCACCUGUAGGUGAAAAUUUUGAAACCAACAUUGUCACUUAUCUCCUGUUGAACGGUUUAAAGGAUAUUGAGCAUGUUUGCAACUUCUGUUGGUGAAGGUUAAUUUUCCACCUAUCGCCAACGGUAUGUUAAAGCAAUGUCGUUAGCUUUUCAACAAUCCUUCAUUAAUAUGUUGACGUCGAAGAGUACGAUUUCCAAAGUAUGCCGUUUGAUAAGUUGAACUUGCUUUAUAUUAACUUCUGGUUUUGAUACUGGCUGCAGUAGCUGGUAUAUGGGAAACAUUUUAUUGUAGUGUUCUGCGCCGUUUAUGCGCUAUUGCAUAAUCCGUUACUUGGCUGUUUUUUGUUUAUACUUGAUUUUUUCUGCUCCGGGACUUUUGUUUACAACCAAUAAUUGUGUCGUGACAGGCAUUCUAAGUGCGGCGAAACGUGUUAAAUAUCUCUUUCAGUUGCAGAACAUACAUGGUAAAAUGAGAACUUCAACAAAGCAGUUGUACGUGCAUGUACAAACAUUGUUUGAGGUUUAAUGACAAUUUUUAGUUUGAUUGUAGUAUCUAUAACUGAACAAAAAUCUUUGCUUCGUUAUCGACUAAUAGUAAAUUCGAAUUGUUUUUAUGUCUAAUUUUACCAUUAGCGCGGAGGAAAAAGUUUUAGAAGUAUUGCAAUAUUAGAUAAAAUUCGGGUUGUAUUACAUGGCACUUUCAAAUUCUAAUUAUCAGUCGACUAACAGUCUUAGUACUUGGAAUUUUUAGCCGAGUUUAUUACUGAUUUAUUGUAAGAAAAUGUUUUAAUAGCGCUAUUGAAGAAACAGCGAAGAGAUGAUGGAUGUAUAUAAUCUAAUUAUCAAAGUGCUAC
Long non-coding RNA from Daphnia magna, 2344 nucleotides. RefSeq lists it as uncharacterized. The transcript is spliced from 5 exons. Lineage: Eukaryota; Metazoa; Arthropoda; Branchiopoda; Diplostraca; Daphniidae. The record is from RefSeq and is a predicted model, not a curated record.